Molecule: long non-coding RNA, 1681 nt
Filed under: Setaria italica (foxtail millet)
Lineage: Eukaryota; Viridiplantae; Streptophyta; Magnoliopsida; Poales; Poaceae
Description: long non-coding RNA (SITA_LNC007244)
Source: RNAcentral
AAAAAUCCCCGAGCCCCUGUAACCAUCAAAGCUCGCGUUGCAUCGGCCAGGGCCAGCACCACACGCAACAAGGACACCGUGAAAUUCCAGGUUCCGUUCAGGGUUUACCCAGAAAGCAAGGGGAAAAGCACACGCGGACGCCUCCCGGCCGGGCAGCAUGAUUGCUCCCCAUCCCCGGCGUCUACUCCUCCUGCCGGCCGUGCUCGUCCUCCUCGCCGCCGGCGCCCUCCUGCCGGAGGCGGCGGAGAAGGUCUCCCUGGGGCUCUACUACGAGUCGCUGUGCCCCUACUGCUCGCGGUUCAUCGUGAACCGCCUCGCGGGGAUCUUCGAGGACGGGCUCAUCGACCCGUGGACCUCCGCCUCGUCCCCUACGGCAACGCCCGCGUCGGAUCCAACGGCGACAUCUCCUGCCAGGUAACCAAAAAUCGAGGCCCAGUCCAAUGAUUCUCCAGUGUUUUUUUUUCUUUUAAAAAAACUUUAAAGCUUAGACUCUCCAGUAGUGUUAAAGAAUUCCUAUAGGAAUCAAAUCCUGCAAAAUUCCUACAUGAAUCCUAUGUUACAAAUGGGGCCUGAAACUACUAGCUUGUGUUUUCGCCGUGGGCGCGUAUGUGACUGAACACAUCGACAAAAGACAAGUGUCGCCUUCUUUUAUACGUCAAAGCUCUCGCUCAUCAAGUCACCAGCCGUAAUUGGACACGAAUCGAUGCUUGCACUGCGUCAAUUGAGGUAGGAUAAGCAUGAUCUGCAACCGCCAGCUGCUAAUUGUGGCCGUGUUCCUUGACGAACUGCAAAGUGACCUGGUUUUUGUACUUGCAGUAAGUGCGGACGUUGUAGCUGAUGCAUUGCUAGCCAAAGCCCCACUAAGACCUCGCACUCUUUUCUUAGCUUCAGGACAAGUAGACAUACCAUCUUUCAUGUCCAAUUCGACUAGGUUGCAGAGUAUCUGAUUUUCUCACACGCCACGUCCACGCUCUCCAAAUUCGUCAGUUGCUUGCGUACAAAAAUCAUCUUGUACGCAUACGGCACUAGCUUUCCUCUUAAUGCCUGCAUCAUUGUACGCAUAGUACAUGGCCUUUCGGGAUGUAUCUGUACACCGUAUAUUUUCGGCUGGACAUCGACGCUGCACGUUCUCAGGCUGCUGUUGUCCACGCUGCGCACGCAAAGCUAAUCUCGUUCAGGAUUCCGUCCACGUUCGCGCGGCCCAGGCGCCCAGCCCAACCCGCUGGGCGCGCUGUAGCUGCCGAUGGGACCCACGGUGUCCCACGUGGCAGGCCGAGUAGGGCCCACCUUGUAGUCGCCUUCCGGUGAUAAUAACGGCGCACGGCGCACGUGGUCACCCGCCUCGCGCUAAUCUCCCGAUAAAAUACGCCUCGAGGGGCUCCCCGCAUCGCACCACCUCACCUCACUUCACUUCAAUUCACCGCGGCGACCUUCCCAUCGGCAUCGCGAUCCCACCGACCCGAUGGCCGCCCGCCUCGGCGUCCCCGCGCUCCUCCUCCUGCUCGCCUCCUCCCUGGCCGCGGCGGCCGGCGACGAGGGCCCGGGGAAGGUGGCCGUGGCGCUCUACUACGAGACGCUGUGCCCCUACUCGGCGCGCUUCGUGGUGGACCACCUCGCCAGGGUCUUCGAGGACGGCCUCCUCGACGCCGUCGACCUCACGCUCGUCCCCUACGGCAACGCC